GCUCCUGUGGCCUAGUGGUUAGAGCGUCUGUCUAGAAUGCGGGAGGUCGUGGGUUCAAUCCCGGUCGAGUCAUAGCA
Potamilus streckersoni is the source of this 77-nucleotide non-coding RNA. NCBI's taxonomy places the organism in Eukaryota, Metazoa, Mollusca, Bivalvia, Unionida, Unionidae. The record is from the annotation of a GenBank genome assembly.